UACAGAGGGGGCAAGCGUUGUUCGGAAUUAUUGGGCGUAAAGGGCGCGUAGGCGGUGCGGUAAGUCACUUGUGAAAUCUCUGGGCUCAACUCAGAGUCUGCAAGCGAAACUGCCGUGCUUGAGUGUCGGAGAGGUAAGUGGAAUUCCCGGUGUAGCGGUGAAAUGCGUAGAUAUUGGGAAGAACACCAGUGGCGAAGGCGGCUAACUGGUCCAGAUCUGACGCUGAGGUGCGAAAGCGUGGGGAGCAAACAGGG
RNAcentral lists this ribosomal RNA (254 nucleotides) under uncultured bacterium. RNAcentral describes it as "partial 16S ribosomal RNA". It matches the Rfam family "Bacterial small subunit ribosomal RNA", at positions 524 to 777 of the family's 1533-position model. The record is from RNAcentral.